CCUACGGGUGGCAGCAGUGAGGAAUAUUGGUCAAUGGACGCAAGUCUGAACCAGCCAUGCCGCGUGCAGGAAGACGGCUCUAUGAGUUGUAAACUGCUUUUGUACGAGGGUAAACGCAGAUACGCGUAUCUGUCUGAAAGUAUCGUACGAAUAAGGCUCGGCUAACUCCGUGCCAGCAGCCGCGGUAAUACGGAGGAUUCAAGCGUUUUCCGGAUUUAUUGGGUUUAAAGGGUGCGUAGGCGGGCGGUUAAGUUAGAGGUGAAAUCCCGAGGCUCAACUUCGGAAUUGCCUCUGAUACUGUUCGUCUAGAGAGUAGUUGCGGUAGGCGGAAUGUAUGGUGUAGCGGUGAAAUGCUUAGAGAUCAUACAGAACACCGAUUGCGAAGGCAGCUUACCAAGCUACUUCUGACGUUGAGGCACGAAAGCGUGGGGAGCAAACAGGAUUAGAUACCCCAGUAGUC
This 460-nucleotide ribosomal RNA is filed under the name uncultured bacterium. RNAcentral describes it as "partial 16S ribosomal RNA". It matches the Rfam family "Bacterial small subunit ribosomal RNA", at positions 338 to 795 of the family's 1533-position model. The record is from RNAcentral.